AUAUCAGUAAGCGGAGGAAAAGAAACCAACAGGGAUUGCCCCAGUAACGGCGAGUGAAGCGGCAACAGCUCGAAUUUGAAAUCUGGCUCCGGCCCGAGUUGUAAUCUGUAGAGGACGCUUUUGGCGCGGUGCCUUCCGAGUGCCCUGGAACGGGACGCCACAGAGGGUGAGAGCCCCGUAUGGUCGGACACCAAGCCUCUGUAAAGCUCCUUCGACGAGUCGAGUAGCUUGGGAAUGCUGCUCUAAGUGGGAGGUAAACUUCUUCUAAAGCUAAAUACUGGCCAGAGACCGAUAGCGCACAAGUAGAGUGAUCGAAAGAUGAAAAGCACUUUGAAAAGAGGGUCAAAUAGUAC
This 353-nucleotide ribosomal RNA is filed under the name uncultured fungus. RNAcentral describes it as "eukaryotic LSU rRNA". It matches the Rfam family "Eukaryotic large subunit ribosomal RNA", at positions 40 to 398 of the family's 3401-position model. Lineage: Eukaryota; Fungi. The record is from RNAcentral.